AGUGAACGCUGGCGGCAGGCCUAAUACAUGCAAGUCGAACGGCAGCACAGCAGAGCUUGCUCUGUGGGUGGCGAGUGGCGGACGGGUGAGGAAUACGUGGGAAUCUGCCCAGUCGUGGGGGAUAACGUAGGGAAACUUACGCUAAUACCGCAUGCGCCCUUCGGGGAAAGCCGGGGACCUUCGGGCCUGGCGCGAUUGGAUGAGCCCACGUCGGAUUAGCUAGUUGGCGGGGUAAAGGCCCACCAAGGCGACGAUCCGUAGCUGGUCUGAGAGGAUGAUCAGCCACACUGGAACUGAGACACGGUCCAGACGCCUACGGGAGGCAGCAGUAGGGAAUAUUGGGACAAUGGGCGCAAGCCUGAUCCAGCCAUGCCGCGUGAGUGAAG
RNAcentral lists this ribosomal RNA (386 nucleotides) under uncultured bacterium. RNAcentral's name for it is "bacterial SSU rRNA". It matches the Rfam family "Bacterial small subunit ribosomal RNA", at positions 30 to 410 of the family's 1533-position model. The record is from RNAcentral.